Molecule: non-coding RNA, 527 nt
Organism: Paramisgurnus dabryanus
Lineage: Eukaryota; Metazoa; Chordata; Actinopteri; Cypriniformes; Cobitidae
Source: RefSeq, a predicted model, not a curated record
CAUCACAAGCAUAUGGGGGAGAACCAAAACCAUUGCAAGCGUAUGGGGGAGAACCAAAACCAUCGCGAGCAAAUGGGGGAGAAUCAAAAUCACAGCAAGCGGAUGGGGGAGAAUCAGAACCAGGAGGAAAAACAUCAUACAAGAAAGUGUCUGUCAAAGAUAAAAUAAAAACAUUUGAAGUGGAUAAGGGAAAAUCUGUCGAUCUGAAGACUAAGGUUACUGACAUACAGAGAGAUGAGAAGAUAGAGGGGAGAUCUGGAGAAACUGAAAUCAAUCCUGCAAACAAUAUCUUGAGUACAUCUGAUGGUGAUGAUAAAGGUGGAUUCAAAGAUGAAUCAGAACCAUUGCAAACGGAUGAGGGAAAAUCAAAACCAACACAAGCGUAUGGGGGAGAACCAAAACCAUCACAAGCAUAUGGGGGAGAACCAAAACCAUCGCGAGCAUAUGGGGGAGAACCAAAACCAUCGCAAGCAUAUGGGGGAGAACCAAAACCACAGCAAGCGGAUGAGGGACAAUCAAAACCACAG